AGUGAACGCUGGCGGCGUGCCUAAUACAUGCAAGUCGCAGGAAGUGUCGCACGGGUGAGAAAUAUAUAGCUAAUCUUCCCCUUUCUGGAGGACAACCGUUAGAAAUGACUGCUACUACUCCAUAGCAAGGGAUGAGACUAUAUCGUAUUAGCUGGCCUGUGGGGUAACGGCGUACCGAGGCUAUGACGCGUAACUGGUCUGCGAGGAUGAUCAGUCACAGUGGAAGUGAGAAACGGUCCAAAAGCAUACGGGAUGCAGGAGUAGGGACUAUGGCGCAAGGGGGGAAGCCCUGACGCGGCAACGCCGCGUGGAGGAUGAUACUUGUCGGAGCGUAAACUCCUUUUGUUAGGGAAGCGGUACCUAACGAAUAAGCACCGGCUAACUCCGUGCCAGCAGCCGCGGUAAUAC
Molecule: ribosomal RNA, 408 nt
Filed under: uncultured bacterium
Lineage: Bacteria
Description: partial 16S ribosomal RNA
Rfam family: Bacterial small subunit ribosomal RNA
Source: RNAcentral